GUGUUUUUCAUAGACAUUGGUAGAAGCUGCCAAAGUCUGAGGUUUUUUUUUUGUUUUUUUUGUGAUGAUGAUGGCUUUGUCUAUCAGGACUGCCUGUAAAAACCAGUCCCCGUGCAGAUCAGUGAGGAGGAGCCCCACCACCUCUUAUCCA
This is a long non-coding RNA of Sphaeramia orbicularis (orbiculate cardinalfish), 151 nucleotides long. RefSeq lists it as uncharacterized. NCBI's taxonomy places the organism in Eukaryota, Metazoa, Chordata, Actinopteri, Kurtiformes, Apogonidae. The transcript is spliced from 3 exons. The record is from RefSeq and is a predicted model, not a curated record.